CUGUGGAAAUAUUAAUCUUGGAGGGU
Molecule: non-coding RNA, 26 nt
Filed under: Homo sapiens (human)
Lineage: Eukaryota; Metazoa; Chordata; Mammalia; Primates; Hominidae
Source: RNAcentral